RNAcentral lists this ribosomal RNA (2817 nucleotides) under Escherichia coli. RNAcentral describes it as "partial 23S ribosomal RNA". It matches the Rfam family "Bacterial large subunit ribosomal RNA". Lineage: Bacteria; Pseudomonadati; Pseudomonadota; Gammaproteobacteria; Enterobacterales; Enterobacteriaceae. The record is from RNAcentral.
GUUAAGCGACUAAGCGUACACGGUGGAUGCCCUGGCAGUCAGAGGCGAUGAAGGACGUGCUAAUCUGCGAUAAGCGUCGGUAAGGUGAUAUGAACCGUUAUAACCGGCGAUUUCCGAAUGGGGAAACCCAGUGUGAUUCGUCACACUAUCAUUAACUGAAUCCAUAGGUUAAUGAGGCGAACCGGGGGAACUGAAACAUCUAAGUACCCCGAGGAAAAGAAAUCAACCGAGAUUCCCCCAGUAGCGGCGAGCGAACGGGGAGCAGCCCAGAGCCUGAAUCAGUGUGUGUGUUAGUGGAAGCGUCUGGAAAGGCGCGCGAUACAGGGUGACAGCCCCGUACACAAAAAUGCACAUGCUGUGAGCUCGAUGAGUAGGGCGGGACACGUGGUAUCCUGUCUGAAUAUGGGGGGACCAUCCUCCAAGGCUAAAUACUCCUGACUGACCGAUAGUGAACCAGUACCGUGAGGGAAAGGCGAAAAGAACCCCGGCGAGGGGAGUGAAAAAGAACCUGAAACCGUGUACGUACAAGCAGUGGGAGCACGCUUAGGCGUGUGACUGCGUACCUUUUGUAUAAUGGGUCAGCGACUUAUAUUCUGUAGCAAGGUUAACCGAAUAGGGGAGCCGAAGGGAAACCGAGUCUUAACUGGGCGUUAAGUUGCAGGGUAUAGACCCGAAACCCGGUGAUCUAGCCAUGGGCAGGUUGAAGGUUGGGUAACACUAACUGGAGGACCGAACCGACUAAUGUUGAAAAAUUAGCGGAUGACUUGUGGCUGGGGGUGAAAGGCCAAUCAAACCGGGAGAUAGCUGGUUCUCCCCGAAAGCUAUUUAGGUAGCGCCUCGUGAAUUCAUCUCCGGGGGUAGAGCACUGUUUCGGCAAGGGGGUCAUCCCGACUUACCAACCCGAUGCAAACUGCGAAUACCGGAGAAUGUUAUCACGGGAGACACACGGCGGGUGCUAACGUCCGUCGUGAAGAGGGAAACAACCCAGACCGCCAGCUAAGGUCCCAAAGUCAUGGUUAAGUGGGAAACGAUGUGGGAAGGCCCAGACAGCCAGGAUGUUGGCUUAGAAGCAGCCAUCAUUUAAAGAAAGCGUAAUAGCUCACUGGUCGAGUCGGCCUGCGCGGAAGAUGUAACGGGGCUAAACCAUGCACCGAAGCUGCGGCAGCGACACUGUGUGUUGUUGGGUAGGGGAGCGUUCUGUAAGCCUGCGAAGGUGUGCUGUGAGGCAUGCUGGAGGUAUCAGAAGUGCGAAUGCUGACAUAAGUAACGAUAAAGCGGGUGAAAAGCCCGCUCGCCGGAAGACCAAGGGUUCCUGUCCAACGUUAAUCGGGGCAGGGUGAGUCGACCCCUAAGGCGAGGCCGAAAGGCGUAGUCGAUGGGAAACAGGUUAAUAUUCCUGUACUUGGUGUUACUGCGAAGGGGGGACGGAGAAGGCUAUGUUGGCCGGGCGACGGUUGUCCCGGUUUAAGCGUGUAGGCUGGUUUUCCAGGCAAAUCCGGAAAAUCAAGGCUGAGGCGUGAUGACGAGGCACUACGGUGCUGAAGCAACAAAUGCCCUGCUUCCAGGAAAAGCCUCUAAGCAUCAGGUAACAUCAAAUCGUACCCCAAACCGACACAGGUGGUCAGGUAGAGAAUACCAAGGCGCUUGAGAGAACUCGGGUGAAGGAACUAGGCAAAAUGGUGCCGUAACUUCGGGAGAAGGCACGCUGAUAUGUAGGUGAAGUCCCUCGCGGAUGGAGCUGAAAUCAGUCGAAGAUACCAGCUGGCUGCAACUGUUUAUUAAAAACACAGCACUGUGCAAACACGAAAGUGGACGUAUACGGUGUGACGCCUGCCCGGUGCCGGAAGGUUAAUUGAUGGGGUCAGCGCAAGCGAAGCUCUUGAUCGAAGCCCCGGUAAACGGCGGCCGUAACUAUAACGGUCCUAAGGUAGCGAAAUUCCUUGUCGGGUAAGUUCCGACCUGCACGAAUGGCGUAAUGAUGGCCAGGCUGUCUCCACCCGAGACUCAGUGAAAUUGAACUCGCUGUGAAGAUGCAGUGUACCCGCGGCAAGACGGAAAGACCCCGUGAACCUUUACUAUAGCUUGACACUGAACAUUGAGCCUUGAUGUGUAGGAUAGGUGGGAGGCUUUGAAGUGUGGACGCCAGUCUGCAUGGAGCCGACCUUGAAAUACCACCCUUUAAUGUUUGAUGUUCUAACGUUGACCCGUGAUCCGGGUUGCGGACAGUGUCUGGUGGGUAGUUUGACUGGGGCGGUCUCCUCCUAAAGAGUAACGGAGGAGCACGAAGGUUGGCUAAUCCUGGUCGGACAUCAGGAGGUUAGUGCAAUGGCAUAAGCCAGCUUGACUGCGAGCGUGACGGCGCGAGCAGGUGCGAAAGCAGGUCAUAGUGAUCCGGUGGUUCUGAAUGGAAGGGCCAUCGCUCAACGGAUAAAAGGUACUCCGGGGAUAACAGGCUGAUACCGCCCAAGAGUUCAUAUCGACGGCGGUGUUUGGCACCUCGAUGUCGGCUCAUCACAUCCUGGGGCUGAAGUAGGUCCCAAGGGUAUGGCUGUUCGCCAUUUAAAGUGGUACGCGAGCUGGGUUUAGAACGUCGUGAGACAGUUCGGUCCCUAUCUGCCGUGGGCGCUGGAGAACUGAGGGGGGCUGCUCCUAGUACGAGAGGACCGGAGUGGACGCAUCACUGGUGUUCGGGUUGUCAUGCCAAUGGCACUGCCCGGUAGCUAAAUGCGGAAGAGAUAAGUGCUGAAAGCAUCUAAGCACGAAACUUGCCCCGAGAUGAGUUCUCCCUGACUCCUUGAGAGUCCUGAAGGAACGUUG